This 515-nucleotide ribosomal RNA is filed under the name uncultured bacterium. Its description in RNAcentral is "bacterial SSU rRNA". It matches the Rfam family "Bacterial small subunit ribosomal RNA", at positions 303 to 810 of the family's 1533-position model. The record is from RNAcentral.
AUCAGCCACACUGGAACUGAGACACGGUCCAGACUCCUACGGGAGGCAGCAGUGGGGAAUCUUGCGCAAUGGGCGAAAGCCUGACGCAGCGACGCCGCGUGAGUGAUGAAGGCCUUCGGGUUGUAAAAGCUCUGUGGGGCGAGACGAAUAAGUGCAGCCUAAUACGUUGCAUGAUGACGGUAUCGCCUUAGCAAGCACCGGCUAACUCUGUGCCAGCAGCCGCGGUAAGACAGAGGGUGCAAACGUUGUUCGGAAUUACUGGGCGUAAAGCGAGUGUAGGCGGUCUUGUAAGUCGGGUGUGAAAGCCCCGGGCUCAACCCGGGAAGUGCACUCGAAACUGCGAGGCUAGAGUAUCGGAGAGGUUGGUGGAAUUCUCGGUGUAGAGGUGAAAUUCGUAGAUAUCGAGAGGAACACCGGUGGCGAAGGCGGCCAACUGGACGAAUACUGACGCUGAGACUCGAAAGCGUGGGGAGCAAACAGGAUUAGAUACCCUGGUAGUCCACGCCGUAAACGAU